Molecule: long non-coding RNA, 1190 nt
Organism: Magnolia sinica
Lineage: Eukaryota; Viridiplantae; Streptophyta; Magnoliopsida; Magnoliales; Magnoliaceae
Exons: 3
Source: RefSeq, a predicted model, not a curated record
CUUCAAUCAGUGAGAUUUUUUCAUGUAAGCCAUAUUGGUCUUGUUUCGAGUCUAUAAAGUAGUUGCAUAGGUUGACCCAUUUUCUACCUUAUGGUGAUAGGCAUGAACUACUACUCGGCAUGAAGAAAAAAGGAACUGCAAGUCAGGUUUGUGGUAUUACUAUUCCUUUAUAUACACAAUUUGGUUUUGAUUGCUCCGUAUGCAUCUGAUAUGAUUUCUGUUUUAGUUGGUCUUUGGCUCUUUUAUUAGCUGUGUCUAUAGAAACCAUCUGCUAGUGAGAUUCAAAUGUUGAUACCAUAACCUACAGAUGUGUGAGAUUUCCUAGUAGCUUAAUUUAGCACUAUUUGGAUAUGUAAAUUAACUUAUGAGCAGAAUGUUUUGCUCAAUGUUGUUUAAAUCCUACAGUUUUCUAUUCGGAUCCUAUGAUCUAAUUGAAAUCUCAGAGGGGGCUGAAUUGCCUUUACGGAAGAUGAUGAAACGUCUGAAAUCCCAAAGAAAGAAGAAAACGUGUGAUGGACAGCCCGGAUCUCUUACAAUGUGCUAUGUUGGAACAUGGGCAGCAUCUGGGUUGUGGUGACUGUAGAUGGUGGAUGCAAGAAUGCAUUGUUUCUACAUUUGAAUGUGUCUAGAUUCCCAAUAGAAAUGUCAUUUAUGUAUAGACUGUUGAGGUUGCUUAUGCUGUUUCUAAACCGGAUGUGUUUGAGUGGUUUUGCUUCUUUGUAGCUGCAGUCAUCAGGAUGGAAGACGGAACAUCUUGUAUCGCCUUCGAUUGUUUGGAGAGAACAUUGGAUUCAUGAUCCUUCGAAUGAAAAGAUCAACUAGGAACAUAGCACAGCUUGCAAAGGUUAAGAUCAUGAAAAGACAGGGUCAUUGGGAGGACCUCCAAUUACAUGGCAGCAUUGAUAAUCCUCUCAGCCAAAUGGAACAAGAUUGGAUCGUCAAGCUGAUCAUUUUAACAACUGUCAUCUGGCCUUAGAAAGACCAAAUUGGGGUGAUCUUAGCAAUGGAACUGACUAUUUUUUCUGUGUUUAUUGCACUCCCGAUCUGGUCACUCUUCACCAAUCUGAUCAUCAGCUUCUUCAACAUCAAUAAGGGCUUUGCCAACAUGAUGUAGAGCGGGCCGCGGAUAGUUUCAUGGCCAAGAUGGAUCAGAAAAGGCCCGGUCAUCGAUAGAAGUGAUCCGCACCGUC